CAAAGAAUAGUUUAACUUAGAACUCUAGCUUUGGGAGCUAGGGGUGGGGGUUAAACUCCCUCUUCUUUGA
RNAcentral lists this transfer RNA (70 nucleotides) under Empetrichthys latos latos. Its description in RNAcentral is "tRNA-Pro". It matches the Rfam family "tRNA". From Rfam's summary of the family: Transfer RNA (tRNA) molecules are approximately 80 nucleotides in length. Their secondary structure includes four short double-helical elements and three loops (D, anti-codon, and T loops). The record is from RNAcentral. Lineage: Eukaryota; Metazoa; Chordata; Actinopteri; Cyprinodontiformes; Goodeidae.